Molecule: long non-coding RNA, 2247 nt
Filed under: Salmo salar (Atlantic salmon)
Lineage: Eukaryota; Metazoa; Chordata; Actinopteri; Salmoniformes; Salmonidae
Description: lncRNA (ENSSSAG00000094227.1, ENSSSAG00075020896.1)
Source: RNAcentral
GGGAGAGAGUGAAGGAAGAUGGCAAUCAAUGAAGAAGUUUGAGGGAUGAAUUUCAUGUCUUUAUGAAGCCGUCGUUUUAUUGGAUGAUGGCCUUUGAUGCAGCCUCAGAAGUUCUGGCACCAUGUCACAGUGACAUCACCGCUUUGAUUCGAGACCCAUUUUAAGUGCAGAAUCUGAAGCACAUCGAUGCAUUCAUGCAAGUUAAUGGAGGAUGCAGUCUGGUAGUUUUCUCCAAUAUUAUUGUAUUCUAUUUCACAGAGGAGCAGGUGCUUCUGGGAACUUCAAGUGCAGUCAGGCAGUUUAAGAGUACUUACCGUUUUUCUCUCAGCCCAAUAAAACAUGCUACACAUUUUUGUUCUUGUUUGACUUGAGACCUACACUUUCAGAGUUCCAUGUUGAGAAUACACUUGGGUCUCAUUUCAUCCAUCUCCUUCCACUAAGCAUUAGCAUCUGUUCCUUUCCCUAAAUGGAUGAUGAGUGUUGAAAGAACUUGUCUUGAGGUAGUUCAUGCAUUAUCUAAUGCAUUAUCUAAGUUGCGUUGUGAGGGGAGAACACUUUGGUCAGUAAUGAAUGGGAAGAAAUCUUGCCUGUGUUGGUGUGUGUGAGCGCGGAAUUGCACCAUUCAAAGGGCAGACAGAGUGAAAGGGGGAAAAGGAGAGGAGGAAAAGACAAGAUGAACAGAAGACAGAACACUGCACAAGAGAGAUGAGAGAGAAAGAGAAGGGGGGAGGGAGAGAGAGAGUCAGAGUGUUUGAAUUAAAUAAUUAAUGUCAACAGUUCCGCACAAAAUGAACUAUGGCAGAGUGACGACAUCAAAUACAAAACUCUGGAGCCAUAUAUAGAGAAACACAGUAUAUUGCUCUGCAAAAAAAGUAUUGGAAGCAACACAGACAAACUUCCCUUGGAACACAAAUCUCCCAGACACAGUCAGUCUUACAAUAGGUUCCAGUAUACCAUUGAUUUACCUUCCAUGACAACCUUGUAAAAUGUGAUAUGUUAGCACAACAGCACUCAAACUGAGGUCCACUGUCCCAUCCUCCCCUCUCCUCUCUCUGUUCUCCUGCUCACGCUGCAGCUAUUAUGUGUUUCCUUUCAAGCUAGAAUCCUUAGUUGCUACAUCAAUUGUUGGACUUAUAAAUGAAUGAUAUACUGUAUACCCAUUGAUUCUUCAAGAAUAUAACUUAUACAUGCCUCAUGAGCUUAGUUCAACUGUCGUACCCCAUCAGAACCUACAAUAAGCUUAUUUUUACUCCAAUGUUUGUAAAUAACUAACACUGUAUAGCCUCAAACAUGGUUGAAACUAUCAUUUUUAUACCAUGGUUAAGCAGUCCUUGCAUCCAUAGCUCUGUCUAUGAAUUUGAGAGUGGUUACACUUCUCCAAGACCAUCCUUCAAUUUUUACCAAAACCAAGGCAGGGUGGUAGCUUUGUUAUUGUUUCAACUGCAGAUUCUAGGUUUAAAGCACCUUCAGCUCUUCCAGGAAACCAGAGAGCUGGUUUUACACUGCAAAUACAAUUCGCAAUUGAGAGCAUCCUGUCAGGCUAUAUCACCGCCUGGUACGGCAACUGCACAGCCCUCAACCGGAAGGCUCUCCAGAGGGUGGUGCGGUCUGUACAAUGCAUCACCGGGGACAAACUACCUGUCCUCCAUGACACCUACAGCACCCGAUGUCACAGGAAGGCCAAAAAGAUCAUCAAGGACAACAACCACCCGAGCCACUGCCUGUUCACCCCGCUAUCAUCCAGAAGGCAAAGUCAGUACAGGUGCAUCAAAGCUGGAACCGAGAGACUGAAAAACAGCAUCUAUCUCAAGGCCAUCAGACUGCUAAACAGCCAUCACUAACUCAGAGAGGCUGCUGCCUACAUUGAGACCCAAUCACUGGCCACUUUAAUAAAUGGAUCACUAGUCACUUUAAACAAUGCCACUUUAAUAAUGUUUACAUAUCUUACAUUACUCAUCUCAUAUGUAUAUACUGUAUCUUAUACCAUCUAUUGCAUCUUGCCUAUGCCGCUUUGCCAUCGCUCAUCCAUAUAUUCAUAUGUACAUAUUCUUAUAGUUGUAAAUGAGAACUUGUUCUCAACUAGCCUACGUGGUUAAAUAAAGGUUAAAUAAAUCAAAAAAUCCAUCCCUUUAGAUUUGUGUGUAUUAGGUAGUUGUUGGGGAUUUGUUAGAUUACUUGUUAGAUAUAUUACUGCAUGGUCGGAACUAGAAGCACAAGCCUUUCGCUACACUCACAUUAACAUCUGCU